UAAGGGAUAUUGGACAAUGGAGGAAACUCUGAUCCAGCCAUGCCGCGUGAGUGAAGAAGGCCUUCGGGUUGUAAAACUCUUUCAGUAGUGAAGAUGAUGACGGUAACUACAGAAGAAGCUCCGGCUAACUUCGUGCCAGCAGCCGCGGUAAUACGAAGGGGGCGAGCGUUGUUCGGAAUCACUGGGCUUAAAGCGUAUGUAGGCGGACUUGCAAGUCAGAAGUGAAAGCCUGGGGCUCAACCCCAGAACUGCUUUUGAAACUGCAAAUCUAGUGUCCCGGAGAGGUUGGCGGAAUUCCGAGUGUAGAGGUGAAAUUCGCAGAUAUUCGGAGGAACACCAGUGGCGUAGGCGGCCAACUGGACGGGUACAGACGCUGAGAUACGAAAGCGUGGGGAGCAAACAGG
RNAcentral lists this ribosomal RNA (404 nucleotides) under uncultured bacterium. RNAcentral describes it as "bacterial SSU rRNA". It matches the Rfam family "Bacterial small subunit ribosomal RNA", at positions 355 to 776 of the family's 1533-position model. The record is from RNAcentral.